UUACGAGGUCAGGACACUGUGAGGAUUGACAGAUUGAAAGCUCUUUCUUGAUUCAGUGGGUGGUGGUGCAUGGCCGUUCUUAGUUGGUGGAGUGAUUUGUCUGGUUAAUUCCGUUAACGAACGAGACCUUAACCUGCUAAAUAGUCACGCGAACCGGUCCGCAAGGGCUCAAAGUUCGCGGCUCGACUUCUUAGAGGGACUAUUCGCACCCGCCAGCGAAUGGAAGUUUGAGGCAAUAACAGGUCUGUGAUGCCCUUAGAUGUUCUCGGCCGCACGCGCGUUACACUGACGGAGUCAACGAGCGUUUUUCCUUGCCCGACAGGGCUGGGUAACCUCCUGAAACUCCGUCGUGAUGGGGAUAGAUCAUUGCAAUUAUUGAUCUUGAACGAGGAAUUCCUAGUAGGCGCGAGUCAUCAACUCGCGCCGAUUACGUCCCUGCCCUUGUACACACCGCCCUCGUACCACCCCAUCCCCC
This 475-nucleotide ribosomal RNA is filed under the name Vermamoeba vermiformis. Its description in RNAcentral is "SSU rRNA". It matches the Rfam family "Eukaryotic small subunit ribosomal RNA", at positions 1215 to 1694 of the family's 1831-position model. The record is from RNAcentral. Lineage: Eukaryota; Tubulinea; Echinamoebida; Vermamoebidae.